GCUGGGAUAGCUCAGUCAGUACAGCAUGAGACUCUUAAUCUCCGGGUCGUGGGUUUGAGCCCCACAUUGGGCA
RNAcentral lists this transfer RNA (73 nucleotides) under Podarcis lilfordi (Lilford's wall lizard). It matches the Rfam family "tRNA". From Rfam's summary of the family: Transfer RNA (tRNA) molecules are approximately 80 nucleotides in length. Lineage: Eukaryota; Metazoa; Chordata; Lepidosauria; Squamata; Lacertidae. The record is from Rfam by way of RNAcentral.